AACGCCGCGUGGAGGAUGACGGUCUUCGGAUUGUAAACUCCUGUCAUCCGGGAGAAGACCUGGCGGUUAACAGCCGACAGGGUUGAUAGUACCGGAAGAGGAAGGGACGGCUAACUUCGUGCCAGCCACCUCGGUGACUGAGCGGGCUGGCAAGGCGCAUA
This 161-nucleotide ribosomal RNA is filed under the name uncultured bacterium. RNAcentral's name for it is "partial 16S ribosomal RNA". It matches the Rfam family "Bacterial small subunit ribosomal RNA", at positions 393 to 539 of the family's 1533-position model. The record is from RNAcentral.